UGAAUACGAGACGCUAAGGCGUCGAAGUAGUGUAUGUCAUACUUCCAAGAAAAGCUUGCACUGUCAUAGAUAAAAAACGCCUGUACCAUAACCGACACAGGUGGGUAGGUAGAGUAUACUAAGGGGCGCGAGAUAACUCUCUCUAAGGAACUCGGCAAAAUAACUCCGUAACUUCGGGAGAAGGAGUGCCUUAUUCGUAAGGUUGCAAUAACAGGAUCCAAGCAACUGUUUAUCAAAAACACAGGUCUCCGCUAAGUCGUAAGACGAUGUAUGGGGCUGACGCCUGCCCAGUGCCAAGGUUAAAGAAGUUGGUUAGCAAUUGCGAAGCUGAUAACUGAAGCCCUGGUGAACGGCGGCCGUAACGAUAACGGUCCUAAGUUAGCGAAAUUCCUUGUCGGGUAAGUUCCGACCCGCACGAAAGGCGUAAUGAUUUGGAUACUGUCUCGGAGAGGGGCUCGGUGAAAUAGACUUGUCUGUGAACAUGCGGACUACCUGCACCAGGACAGAAAGACCCUAUGAAGCUUUACUGUAACUUGAAAUUGAAAUUGGACUUUAUUCGCGCAGUAUAGGUGGGAGGCGUUGAUUAUAAUCUUGGGAUUAUUGGAGCCAUCAGUGAGAUACCACUCUUGUAAUGUUAGAUUUCUAACUUUGAAUCAUUAUCUGGUCAAAGAACAGUUUCAGGCGGGCAGUUUGACUGGGGCGGUCGCCUCCUAAACGGUAACGGAGGCGUACAAAGGUUUCCUCUGAACGGUUAGAAAUCGUAUCUAGAGUGUAAAGGCAUAAGGAAGCUUGACUGUGAGACCUACAAGUCGAGCAGGGACGAAAGUCGGUCUUAGUGAUCUGACGGUACUGAGUGGAAAGGCCGUCACUCAACGGAUAAAAGUUACUCUAGGAUAACAGGCUGAUCUCCCCCAAGAGUUCACAUCGACGGGGAGGUUUGGCACCUCGAUGUCGGCUCAUCGCAUCCUGGGGCGGUAGUACGUCCCAAGGGUUGGGCUGUUCGCCCAUGAAAGCGGUACGCGAGCUGGGUUCAGAACGUCGUGAGACAGUUCGGUCCAUAUCCGGUGUAGGCGUUAGAAUAUUGAGAGGAGCCUUCUUUAGUACGAGAGGACCGAGAAGGACAUACCUCUGGUGUACCAGUUAUCGUGCCAACGGUAAACGCUGGGUAGCUAUGUAUGGAGUGGAUAACCGCUGAAAGCAUCUAAGUGGGAAGCCCACCUCAAGAUAAGUAUUCUCA
This 1237-nucleotide ribosomal RNA is filed under the name metagenome. Its description in RNAcentral is "bacterial LSU rRNA". It matches the Rfam family "Bacterial large subunit ribosomal RNA", at positions 1564 to 2816 of the family's 2925-position model. The record is from RNAcentral.